RNAcentral lists this long non-coding RNA (1278 nucleotides) under Oreochromis niloticus (Nile tilapia). RNAcentral describes it as "lncRNA (ENSONIG00000041371.1)". Lineage: Eukaryota; Metazoa; Chordata; Actinopteri; Cichliformes; Cichlidae. The record is from RNAcentral.
AGCCUAAAGUUGAUCCUGUGGGCAGAGAUCCAUCAGGCAGAGGCAAUGAAAUUCCUGCUUUUCCAGUAUUUUUCUCACUUCCAUGGAAUUAAAAAGAAAAAGACAAAACUGUUGAGUGAACAAAAGCUUGUUUUUCCCUAAAGGUGGAUCUCAUCAGGGUGAUGUCACGUACUCGCUUCAUCCUCCAGCUCUGGGAAACAAACCUGGUAAAGCCUCAGAGAUAUUUGAGGAUAUAAUGAAAUAUUCACGUGUGUCUCCUGCAGCGCCGCGAGCCAACACGUGUGUUUACUCUGUGAUCAAACUGCACCGACAGGAACCCUGAAGGUGAGUCUCUGCAUGUUUCCGUGCAUUAGUCCGAGUCGUUGAUGUUUUAAAGUGAUUCCACUCUGCAGGACUUUCACCUGAUGAUAACGUCACAGAGUCACAGGUGUUUUCUAACCUUCAUCAUGUGACUUUUCUCUAAUUGCAGGAAAUCCUGAGGAUCAAACCUUCCACGCCUCCUGCUGCGAGCUUCUGCUCACGUUUCACUUUAACUUUCAAAAUUAUUUUGAUUCUUGGAAAUCAGUCAAAUCAAAUUAAUAUUCAUUGUGCUGGUUAAUAAAACAUAACAAUGAUGUCAUCGUGUUUACCUUUUGUUUGACUUUCACACAAACAUUCAGAGGAACAAAGAAAUAUCCAAUUAAAAUCUCAGCUAGUCCUUCAAAUCUUCUUCAUCUGAGAGCUUCCAGCUCCUCAUCAGAUCCAUGUGACACAGCAGACCUGCAGCGGGAGCACGCCUCUUUAUUUUCCAGGCCGCUGACACUCCCUGAGUCACUGAGGAUGAGGAAGGAGAGGAAGAGCGGUGCAGGGACAGACGGGCUCGAGGCACAUCGACAGCUCUGCAGCUCCACGUUUGUUCCUGAACAUGUUCACUCUGCUGGUCUCCUGUCACGUUUGGUUCCUGCUCUCAGGUCUGAUCGGCUGCACGGAAAACUCCACAGCGAUCUGGUUUUCAGUCCCUGAGAAUCACCACGUCUGUCUGCCCUGCGGCAGCUCUGGCAGCUCCGACGUGAUCUGGACUCUGCAGGAUCAGGAGGUCCUGGUGACCCGACGAGGCAGCUACAAGACCAACAAGGACCGCCAGCGCUACCUCCUCAUGGUUAAUGGCAGCCUCUGCAUCCUGCAUCUGGAGGAGUCGGAUCAUGGAGGAUACCGCUGUAACCAGCAGCUGGUGGCUGAGCUGCAGGUGCUGACAGGUCUAUGAGCUCAACACCUCCAGCAUGAGUGCAGCUGCAGAGG